UUUGUUCCAAGACUGUUUCUUCAGAUAGAUAAAUUAGAUUCAUCUUACUACUUUAUUCAAAUUAGGCUAAAGCAUCCACUUGGUGCGUUUGAUUUUUUUAGUUUAGGUUCGAGAGGACUCGACAUCAGCAAAAAUAUGCACACAAAAUUUACAGUCGAAUCUCACGUGUUCAGAUACACAGUGGUAGGUGUUUUGUCCCAGUCUCAAGCCGUCAAUCCAUUUUGAUCAAUAUAUCUAGUAGAAGUAAACAUGCAGAUCAUUGUCUUCGAGGCCGGCUAGCUAUUUUGUGCUUUUUUUUUAUUUUAAAUUUGAAUGUCACUAACUACUUUGAAAUAGAAAUAUUUAGUCUUUGUGUAUAGUUGAAUUCUCCUGUAAAUACUAAUACUUUGUAAUUGAAUUCUAUUGUUUGGUACGAGAUUGAAAUCAUUAGCUGAGCUAA
Molecule: long non-coding RNA, 439 nt
Organism: Zingiber officinale
Lineage: Eukaryota; Viridiplantae; Streptophyta; Magnoliopsida; Zingiberales; Zingiberaceae
Exons: 2
Source: RefSeq, a predicted model, not a curated record